AGCAGCCGCGGUAAUUCCAGCUCCAAUAGCGUAUAUUAAAGUUGUUGCAGUUAAAAAGCUCGUAGUUGAAUUUCGGGAUCAAUACGCCUGUCGUGCCUUCGGUACGUACGGGUGUAAUUGGUCUCUACCUUCUGAGGAUCCUUGAUGUCAUUAAUUUGGUGUCUUAGGGAAUCAGGACUGUUACCUUGAAAAAAUUAGAGUGUUUAAAGCAGGCAUACGCUUGAAUACAUUAGCAUGGAAUAAUGAAAUAGGACGUUCGAUUCUAUUUUGUUGGUUUCUAGGAUCGACGUAAUGAUUAAUAGGGAUAGUUGGGGGCAUUAGUAUUCAAUUGUCAGAGGUGAAAUUCUUGGAUUUAUUGAAGACUAACUACUGCGAAAGCAUUUGCCAAGGAUGUUUUCAUUAAUCAAGAACGAAAGUUAGGGGAUCGAAGACGAUCAGAUACCGUCGUAGUCUUAACCAUAAACUAUGCCGACUAGGGAUCGGAUGAUGUUAAUUUUUAAUGACUCAUUCGGCGCCUUAA
Molecule: ribosomal RNA, 520 nt
Filed under: uncultured Glomus
Lineage: Eukaryota; Fungi; Glomeromycota; Glomeromycetes; Glomerales; Glomeraceae
Description: SSU rRNA
Rfam family: Eukaryotic small subunit ribosomal RNA
Source: RNAcentral